UCAUGUACCAGAUUCUGCGGAUGCCAUUCCGGGUCCCUACAUCUCGAGAAAGCCAAGUUGAUCCUGCAAAACAUUCUUACAAGGAACUUAUACUCUUACGUCGGGAAUUUACCGAGGCGGAUGUGAUCGAUGUGGAGAAGACAAAGCAGACACUCAUGAACCGUUCCCCGGCGCAGAGUGCCUGGAAACGAGAGUCAAAUUUGGCAGCGAGAAUGGAAAUCCUUUGGCAAAGCAGCAUUUCUACGCAGGGGAAAUAGGGGGGGAUUCAUAACUCUGAGGCCGGAACAGGUCUCUAGAAUGCUUCCAAGAGAGUUCGAGGAUGUCAAAUUUUACGUCAU
Molecule: long non-coding RNA, 338 nt
Organism: Penaeus indicus
Lineage: Eukaryota; Metazoa; Arthropoda; Malacostraca; Decapoda; Penaeidae
Exons: 3
Source: RefSeq, a predicted model, not a curated record